GGCCGGUUAGCUCAGCUGGUUAGAGCGUGGUGCUAAUAAUGCCAAGGUUGAGGGUUUGAUCCCCUUCCUGGCCA
Molecule: non-coding RNA, 74 nt
Organism: Periophthalmus magnuspinnatus
Lineage: Eukaryota; Metazoa; Chordata; Actinopteri; Gobiiformes; Gobiidae
Source: the annotation of a RefSeq genome assembly